CCCUAUUUGUUUGAUUCAAUUCCUAAAUAAGGA
This 33-nucleotide transfer RNA is filed under the name Afroamphica africana. Its description in RNAcentral is "Amphicarpaea africana partial tRNA-Tyr". Lineage: Eukaryota; Viridiplantae; Streptophyta; Magnoliopsida; Fabales; Fabaceae. The record is from RNAcentral.